GGGUAUAUGUCUUCGGAUAUAGAGACCGGCGCACGGGUGCGUAACGCGUAUGCAAUCUACCUUUUACAGAGGGAUAGCCCAGAGAAAUUUGGAUUAAUACCUCAUAGUAUAGUGACUCGGCAUCGAGAUACUAUUAAAGUCACAACGGUAAAAGAUGAGCAUGCGUCCCAUUAGCUAGUUGGUAAGGUAACGGCUUACCAAGGCUACGAUGGGUAGGGGUCCUGAGAGGGAGAUCCCCCACACUGGUACUGAGACACGGACCAGACUCCUACGGGAGGCAGCAGUGAGGAAUAUUGGACAAUGGGCGCAAGCCUGAUCCAGCCAUGCCGCGUGCAGGAUGACGGUCCUAUGGAUUGUAAACUGCUUUUGUACGAGAAGAAACACUCCUUCGUGAAGGAGCUUGACGGUAUCGUAAGAAUAAGGAUCGGCUAACUCCGUGCCAGCAGCCGCGGUAAUACGGAGGAUCCAAGCGUUAUCCGGAAUCAUUGGGUUUAAAGGGUCCGUAGGCGGUUUAGUAAGUCAGUGGUGAAAGCCCAUCGCUCAACGGUGGGACGGCCAUUGAUACUGCUAAACUUGAAUUAUUAGGAAGUAACUAGAAUAUGUAGUGUAGCGGUGAAAUGCUUAGAGAUUACAUGGAAUACCAAUUGCGAAGGCAGGUUACUACUAAUGGAUUGACGCUGAUGGACGAAAGCGUGGGUAGCGAACAGGAUUAGAUACCCUGGUAGUCCACGCCGUAAACGAUGGAUACUAGCUGUUGGAAGCAAUUUCAGUGGCUAAGCGAAAGUGAUAAGUAUCCCACCUGGGGAGUACGUUCGCAAG
Molecule: ribosomal RNA, 819 nt
Filed under: uncultured bacterium
Lineage: Bacteria
Description: bacterial SSU rRNA
Rfam family: Bacterial small subunit ribosomal RNA
Source: RNAcentral